UUCGUAUUUUUUGAAGAUAAUGUAAUUAAUGUUCACACCCCCACACUAUACACCCCUCUUCACUCCACCCCUCCCUCCUUUGUGAUUGAAAUUGAGAGUCCCUUCACCUUUAAAAAGAAAAUAGAUGAGCGGUCUGCACCCGCAAGGCGGUGCUCUUGUUUGUCUAAUUCACUGUGUCUUAUGUUGAUUGGCAUUUCAUUAUUGUAUUAUUCAUAUCUGUUUGAUUGUUUUUCAUAUGAAUUUGUAUAGCAAAGAUAUAAAUCUUUAAGUAUGAGUUGCUUAGUUGAACAAAUGAGGCAGAAUUAUUUUAGUGAUUUACAUCACAUGUUUUAGUACUUUACUUAUGUAUAGGGAUCAUUUUGUUGUAUCCGUCCAUAAUGUAACUUCUGAUUUUACUCUGUGUGCAAUUUAACUGCCUAAACAGUUCAUUUGUUUGAUGUUUGUUUUUGUUUAUUUUCAAACAUACUAUUAAAAGUUUUCAUUUGCAUGUUUUAAAAGGUAGCUAAGUACAUUUUAAAUUAAAUAUGAUGAGUAAUAUUGAUUGAUACCAAAGAAACAUUAUUUCCCUACACCAGAACUUAACGGGACUUACUAACAGUAUGGCGCAGUGACAAUUGAAAACAAUGCAGAAGUCACUGUAUUGACCCACUCAUCAUUAAAUUUGCUCAGAACUUUUAUUGGGCUGUUGUGAUGUCAGACUGAAUUCAAAAUCAUUGUGGGUGGCUUGUUCAAAAACAUGCUACCAGGAUAGUAAGUCUAAUGUUAAACUUUGAAAAAGCUAUAUGCUCAGAAGAAAAGUUGAGUUCCUUUGGUUUUCGGAUGAAUACCUUAGGGAAUUGGGUUCUUUUGUGUACUAAUGUGCCUUUUGUGGUAUUGUAUAAAAUUACUUCAUACUGUAGCUUUAGAAGAUUGUAAUAUUUACAUGUCAAUUAUUCUCUCGGGGUUGGGUGGGAUAUUUCAAGGGUACCAUUGAGGUGUAUCUCUCAUUGUUCUACUUUAAUUUAUAAACAAGCAUAUGUUUUAGAAUUCUUUAUCUUGUUCUGUUUCAUACAAACUGAAAUACCAAUACAGGACAAUCUUUAAUUGAAUGUACUCAUUUAAUUGUCAAAAUCAUUCUGAAAUUUUCAAAAUUGCAGAAAUUGAGCGAGACAGGUUGAGAGAGUACCGUUGAGUUACGAUUACCGGAUACAUAGUAAAUAUAUAAACAAAUAAGUUUUAUCUCACACUUUGUCAGCAUAUGAUGUCCUAAAGACAAGGAAUGAGGAACUUAUCUGAAACCUGAACUUAAUUUUAAAUCUGGCAUUGUCAGGAAUUGCAUCACUUGUCAAUUUUUGGCAUUUUUAUGUCCCCCAUUAUAGUAGUGGGGGACAUAUUGUUUUUGCCCUGUCUGUUGGUCUGUGUGUUGGUCUGUCUGUUGGUCUGUUUGCGCCAACUUUAACAUUUUGCAAUAACUUUUUCUAUAUUGAAGAUAGCAACUUCAUAUUUGGCAUGCAUGUGUAUCUCAUGAAGCUGCACAUUUUGAGUGGUGAAAGGUCAAGGUCAUCCUUCAAGGUCAGAGGUCAAAUAUAUAUGGCCAAAAUCGCUCAUUUUAUGAAUACUUUUGCAAUAUUGAAGAUAGCAACUUGAUAUUUGGCAUGCAUGUGUAUCUCAUGGAGCUGCACAUUUUGUGUGGUGAAAGGUCAAGGUCAUCCUUCAAGGUCAGAGGUCAAAUAUAUGUGGCCCAAAUCGCUUAUUUUAUAAAUACUUUUGCAAUAUUGAAGAUAGCAACUUGAUAUUUGGCAUGCAUGUGCAUCUCAUGGAACUGCACAUUUUGAGUGGUGAAAGGUCAAGGUCAUCCUUCAAGGUCAGAGGUCAAAUAUAUGUGGCCCAAAUCGCUUAUUUUAUUAAUACUUUUGCAAUAUUGAAUAUAUCAACUUGAUAUUUGGCAUGCAUGUGUAUCUCAUGGAGCUGCACAUUUUGUGUGGUGAAAGGUCAAGGUCAUCCUUCACAAGGUCAAGGUCAUCCUUCAAAGUCAAACGUCAUAUAGGGGGACAUUGUGUUUCACAAACGCAUCUUGUUGAGUCUUUAUUACUACUUGCUAUGUAAUUAAUUUAUAUGUACUAAUAAACCUGUUACGGUAAGUUAGUUAUCCCAGUCCAAUUUGGCUCUCUUGUGAUAACUGGUUCACACAAAAGUUUAUUCUGUUUUCAACCUUUUCUUCCCAAAAUGUGUUUGUUACAAAGUAUUUCUUGAUAAAAAGAAUAAUUGCCAUACCUAGUAUACCCGUUUGUUGUUUACAUUUUAAGAGGCUUUACUGGAUAAAAGUAUAUGAGUUAUAUUGUAAACAAUAAAGAUUGUUAUUUGAA
Dreissena polymorpha is the source of this 2345-nucleotide long non-coding RNA. RefSeq lists it as uncharacterized. Lineage: Eukaryota; Metazoa; Mollusca; Bivalvia; Myida; Dreissenidae. The record is from RefSeq and is a predicted model, not a curated record. The transcript has 2 exons.